This is a long non-coding RNA of Quercus lobata, 407 nucleotides long. RefSeq lists it as uncharacterized. The record is from RefSeq and is a predicted model, not a curated record. The transcript is spliced from 3 exons. NCBI's taxonomy places the organism in Eukaryota, Viridiplantae, Streptophyta, Magnoliopsida, Fagales, Fagaceae.
GUUUCACUCUACCGAGUCUCCACAUCCCUCACUUGUGCGCUAAAAGUCCAUUUAAAGACCUUAACUUUCCUUCAUUCCAAACAAGUGCAUUUGCAUGCAGGUUAGGGCUCUCCACUCUCUAGAUCACGCAAAUGUACUCAAAUUUUGUUCCUGAUAAGGCCUUAUUCGAAUAUAGAAACACAGAAUCUACUGUUGUUAGUACAGUUGCUUGCUGAUUAGCCACUUGACUUGAUGACUGCUUCUGAAAUUUCAGUUUUGUUCUUCAUUUUGCAAUUAUUAUCAUUAUUAUUAUAAUUGAGAUAUGCAGAAAUAGUUGAUUUUAAGCUACCUCACUUCUUCAAUUACCCUCCAUACUUCAUCUUGCAGCCUGUGAGGGACACCCCUGAGAAGCAGGUACAACGUUGGAA